Molecule: ribosomal RNA, 253 nt
Filed under: uncultured bacterium
Lineage: Bacteria
Description: partial 16S ribosomal RNA
Rfam family: Bacterial small subunit ribosomal RNA
Source: RNAcentral
UACGUAGGGGGCAAGCGUUGUCCGGAUUUAUUGGGCGUAAAGAGCGUGUAGGCGGCUUUGCAAGUCCGUUGUGAAAACUCGAGGCUCAACCUCGAGACGCCGGUGGAAACUGCAAAGCUAGAGUCCGGAAGAGGAGAGUGGAAUUCCUGGUGUAGCGGUGAAAUGCGCAGAUAUCAGGAAGAACACCGGUGGCGAAGGCGGCUCUCUGGGCCUUACCUGACGCUGAGGAGCGAAAGCGUGGGCAGCGAACAGG